RNAcentral lists this ribosomal RNA (441 nucleotides) under Hirsutella thompsonii. RNAcentral's name for it is "eukaryotic LSU rRNA". The stretch from base 65 to 217 matches the Rfam family "5.8S ribosomal RNA". The record is from RNAcentral. Lineage: Eukaryota; Fungi; Ascomycota; Sordariomycetes; Hypocreales; Ophiocordycipitaceae.
CAACAACUCCUAAAAUGGGGAAAAUAGCAUAUACUCCACAAGAGAAACUACUANNAACAAACAAUUCUUUCAACAACGGAUCUCUUGGNUCUCGCAUCGAUGAAGAGCGCAGCGAAAUGCGAUACCUAGCGUGAAUUGCAACCAUCGUGAAUCAUCCAGUUCUUGAACUCACAUUGCGCCCCUCGGGAUUCCGGGGGGCAUGCCUGUUUGAGCGUCGCUUCCAUCUUGCGCGUGCGCAGAGUUNGGGGAGCGGAUCGCACGACGUGUACAGAGCGUCUGAGCUGCGACUCUCCUGAAAGGGAGCGAAGCUGGNCUAGCGAACUAAACUUUUUUUCAGGGACGCUUGGUGAUCGAGAACGAGUGUUGCUAGACAACAAAAAGCUCGACCUCUAAUCAAGUAGGAAUACCCGCUGAACUUANCNAUAUCGAUAAACGGAGGAA